UUGCCAGAGAUGGCUUGGUGCCCGAAAGGGAAUCGGAACACAGGUGCUGCAUGGCUGUCGUCAGCUCGUGUCGUGAGAUGUUGGGUUAAGUCCCGCAACGAGCGCAACCCUUAUCAUUAGUUGCUAACGCAAGGGCACUCUAAUGAGACUGCCGGUGACAAACCGGAGGAAGGUGGGGAUGACGUCAAGUCCUCAUGGCCCUUAUGGUAGGGCUUCACACGUCAUACAAUGGUCGGUACAGAGGGUUGCCAAGCCGCGAGGCGGAGCCAAUCCCACAAAGCCGAUCGUAGUCCGGAUUGUUCUCUGCAACUCGAGAGCAUGAAGUCGGAAUCGCUAGUAAUCGCAGGUCAGCAUACUGCGGUGAAUACGUUCCCGGGUCUU
This 381-nucleotide ribosomal RNA is filed under the name uncultured Thiobacillus sp. RNAcentral's name for it is "bacterial SSU rRNA". It matches the Rfam family "Bacterial small subunit ribosomal RNA", at positions 997 to 1382 of the family's 1533-position model. Lineage: Bacteria; Pseudomonadati; Pseudomonadota; Betaproteobacteria; Nitrosomonadales; Thiobacillaceae. The record is from RNAcentral.